This 253-nucleotide ribosomal RNA is filed under the name uncultured bacterium. RNAcentral describes it as "partial 16S ribosomal RNA". It matches the Rfam family "Bacterial small subunit ribosomal RNA", at positions 524 to 776 of the family's 1533-position model. The record is from RNAcentral.
UACGUAGGGGGCAAGCGUUAUCCGGAUUUACUGGGUGUAAAGGGAACGUAGACGGCAGGGCAAGUCUGGAGUGAAAGGCAGGGGCCCAACCCCUGGACUGCUCUGGAAACUGUCCGGCUGGAGUGCAGGAGAGGUAAGUGGAAUUCCUAGUGUAGCGGUGAAAUGCGUAGAUAUUAGGAGGAACACCAGUGGCGAAGGCGGCUUACUGGACUGUAACUGACGUUGAGGCUCGAAAGCGUGGGGAGCAAACAGG